GCUGAUGUAGCUCAGUCGGCCAGAGCGGCCGCCUCGUAAGCGGCAGGUCGAGGGUUCGAAUCCCUCCAUCAGCUCCA
RNAcentral lists this transfer RNA (77 nucleotides) under Bacillota bacterium. RNAcentral describes it as "Firmicutes bacterium (anaerobic digester metagenome) tRNA-Thr". It matches the Rfam family "tRNA". Rfam says of the family: Transfer RNA (tRNA) molecules are approximately 80 nucleotides in length. Lineage: Bacteria; Bacillati; Bacillota. The record is from RNAcentral.